RNAcentral lists this ribosomal RNA (522 nucleotides) under Escherichia coli. RNAcentral's name for it is "bacterial SSU rRNA". It matches the Rfam family "Bacterial small subunit ribosomal RNA", at positions 62 to 573 of the family's 1533-position model. The record is from RNAcentral. Lineage: Bacteria; Pseudomonadati; Pseudomonadota; Gammaproteobacteria; Enterobacterales; Enterobacteriaceae.
UCGAACGGUAACAGGAAGCAGCUUGCUGCUUCGCUGACGAGUGGCGGACGGGUGAGUAAUGUCUGGGAAACUGCCUGAUGGAGGGGGAUAACUACUGGAAACGGUAGCUAAUACCGCAUAACGUCGCAAGACCAAAGAGGGGGACCUUCGGGCCUCUUGCCAUCGGAUGUGCCCAGAUGGGAUUAGCUAGUAGGUGGGGUAACGGCUCACCUAGGCGACGAUCCCUAGCUGGUCUGAGAGGAUGACCAGCCACACUGGAACUGAGACACGGUCCAGACUCCUACGGGAGGCAGCAGUGGGGAAUAUUGCACAAUGGGCGCAAGCCUGAUGCAGCCAUGCCGCGUGUAUGAAGAAGGCCUUCGGGUUGUAAAGUACUUUCAGCGGGGAGGAAGGGAGUAAAGUUAAUACCUUUGCUCAUUGACGUUACCCGCAGAAGAAGCACCGGCUAACUCCGUGCCAGCAGCCGCGGUAAUACGGAGGGUGCAAGCGUUAAUCGGAAUUACUGGGCGUAAAGCGCACGCA